GACGAACGCGGCGGCGUGCUUAACACAUGCAAGUCGAACGAAGAGCGAUGGAAGCUUGCUUCUAUCAAUCUUAGUGGCGAACGGGUGAGUAACGCGUAAUCAACCUGCCCUUCAGAGGGGGACAACAGUUGGAAACGACUGCUAAUACCGUAUACGAUCUAAUCUCGGCAUCGAGGAUAGAUGAAAGGUGGCCUCUACAUGUAAGCUAUCACUGAAGGAGGGGAUUGCGUCUGAUUAGCUAGUUGGAGGGGUAACGGCCCACCAAGGCGAUGAUCAGUAGCCGGUCUGAGAGGAUGAACGGCCACAUUGGGACUGAGACACGGCCCAGACUCCUACGGGAGGCAGCAGUGGGGAAUCUUCCGCAAUGGACGAAAGUCUGACGGAGCAACGCCGCGUGAGUGAUGACGGCCUUCGGGUUGUAAAGCUCUGUUAAUCGGGACGAAAGGCCUUC
RNAcentral lists this ribosomal RNA (451 nucleotides) under Veillonella parvula. Its description in RNAcentral is "bacterial SSU rRNA". It matches the Rfam family "Bacterial small subunit ribosomal RNA", at positions 28 to 457 of the family's 1533-position model. The record is from RNAcentral. Lineage: Bacteria; Bacillati; Bacillota; Negativicutes; Veillonellales; Veillonellaceae.